Molecule: non-coding RNA, 65 nt
Organism: Arabis alpina (gray rockcress)
Lineage: Eukaryota; Viridiplantae; Streptophyta; Magnoliopsida; Brassicales; Brassicaceae
Source: Rfam
GAAGUAAAGAUGAAAAUAAUUGACUAAGGAUGAUUAACAAGUAACUAGAGAUGCCAAUUAAGUUC